GCGUGCUCCACUUGAUUCGGAGUUGCUUUUGAUUUUGGUAUACCGAAGCCCAAGCGUUAUGAGAACUUUCAGAACUCAAUUCAGUCAGCAUCUACCUCACAAGGUGUAGCACAACCUUUAUCAACUGAAUCAACACCUUCGUAUUUUGAUGAUACACCACAAGUUCAACCAAUAGUACGACCAACACCGCGUCACAACAACCACCAUCUAGAAAGCGUAGUGGACGUGUGUCUAUGCAACAUUGGACUGUAGAUGCAUAGAUUCACAAGGAGCUAGCAAGAUACUUAAAGUGAAGAAAAGGAACGUGUUAAAUUUAUCUAAUGGAGAACGUAUUGUGGUUGAUUUUGACGACAUGGAUUCUCCCAUUGGUGAAGGACAAGGUGUUCUUGCAGGCUUUUGUGGAAUUUUAGCAACUGACUGCUCCAUUUUUCCAAUUCACUUUGAGAAAUGGCCGGAUUUACAUGUGACAAUCUUCAAUCGUUGUUAUGAUCGAUUUAUAAAGCCACGAUUUUGUUUUCGGACAAUUGAGUCAAAUGCAAGACGAUAUGUUUAUAAUUCUAUGUGUAAGAAGUGGGGCGCAAAAAGGCUAAAGUUGUUUGAUAAGGUCUAUGAUCCACUUAAGAGCAGAGCUGAGAUAAUGGAUAGCGUUCCACUGGAAAUUCCACCGGAUCAAUGGAUUUCUUUUGUUGAUUACCGCUCUAGAGAAAAGACACAAGAAAUUUGUAAAAGAAAUGCUGAAAUUCGGAAGAAACAAAUUGUUUCACAUAUCGGUAGCUCCAAACCUAACUCGAGAAGAAGGGCUGAAAUGAUGGCUGAGACUGGACAAAAGCCUGGACGAGGACAGUUUUAUCUCGUUACACAUAGGAAUGAAGAUGGAUCAUAUGUUAAUGAGGCGGCAAAAGAGAUAUGUCAUUGAGCCAAAGCACCGUGGAUGAGUCUGAAAUUUCGCCAAAUGAUGCCGUUGGUAAGGUGCCGGGAAAAGAGUACUCUUGAAGGGUAAGGUGCUUGGGAUUAGGAGCUGUUCUUGGCUGAGCUUUUAGACAAACAAGACCUCGUUAUAGUGAUUUGAAUGCUUCAACUUAUAAUAAUGGUUCAUGUUCUUCCCAAUGCCAAGAGAAAUACAAUCAAAUGUUGAAUGCUCACAAUCAAAGCCAAGAGAACUACAGAGCAAUGAUGAAUGUUAACGCCCAAAUGAUAAAUGCUAACACCCAAAUGAUGAAUGCUUUUAAGGCGUAUAUGAUAAUGAAAGAAGGGAGGAUACCCGAGGAAUUUGCAGGGAUCUUUGUUUCUCCUCCUCAUUCAACACCAAGUGAUGGGACUAGCAGAUCCAUUUCACCCAUGGAUGUUAGAAGAUCAUCUGGUAGAAGUAAUCCUAACGACAACCAUUGAAGUUCACUUGCAAAUGUAUCGUACUCAAUUGAAUGGUCAUAGGAGAUCUUUUGUCCAUAAUAGUUGGAGUAGAUGUUUUGUUUAAAGUUUGUUUUAAGACUAACUAUAAUACUGAUGUUUUGUGUUCAAUGGAUGGAGUAGUUGUGUUUAAAACAAG
Nicotiana tabacum (common tobacco) is the source of this 1546-nucleotide RNA transcript. RefSeq lists it as uncharacterized. The record is from RefSeq and is a predicted model, not a curated record. Lineage: Eukaryota; Viridiplantae; Streptophyta; Magnoliopsida; Solanales; Solanaceae.